CUGCAAUAUUAUUUCUGUGACUCAGCAUCUCAAAAGAACCAAUUCCGAAGAAGGGUUGGCAGAUGACCACGCACUGAAAAGAGUGACCUCCUCCUUUGAAGACGUCUCCAAAGGGUUUUUGAUGAUAUUUUGCCCUAUUCCGUGUUUCCUGUACCUGCGUUUCCUGCACAUGUGAUUCCCUGUGCGAAUUCAUCUCACCUGAGUCUCGUUAUUCCCUAUUCACUAGUAUACUUUAUCUGUCAUUCUUUGUCUUUGCCAGUUCGUCUUGACUUCCCAUAGUAAGAGUUCCAGCAAUUGUUAUUUCCUCAUGAUAAUUUAAGACAUUUUCUAUGUUUCUCAAUUCUGCCUUUUGCCUAGUGAUUUGGAUACAUUUGCUGUUUGACAGACUUCCCAUGUA
This is a long non-coding RNA of Micropterus dolomieu (smallmouth bass), 397 nucleotides long. RefSeq lists it as uncharacterized. NCBI's taxonomy places the organism in Eukaryota, Metazoa, Chordata, Actinopteri, Centrarchiformes, Centrarchidae. The record is from RefSeq and is a predicted model, not a curated record. The transcript is spliced from 2 exons.